AGUUGUGGUCGCGGACUCCAGUUGUCAGGUCUUGGGGGCCGAGGCCCCGGUGAGCCCAAGGCCAGGGACGGCCAGCUCGAGACGCGGGGUCGCAAGUUCCCCUUAUUAAUCCCGAUUCCCUCUCAUCUGCAAAAAAAUCCUUCCAUGCACCACGGUUGUACAAAAAUCCCUCCCGUGAAGCGGGCCCCGCCCCCAGGGUGUAAUCGCUCCAGCGGGAAAACGAGGCCUGGAGCGCUUCCAGUCCCUCGGUAGAGCCACGUGCUCAGGAUUUUCGGGCGUGUGCUUCGUGCACGCUCAUCCAGACGCUGCAGAAACCUGGUUCCUGCUGGGCAAAGGUCUGUUCUGGGAGGCUGGAAUCCACAGACUCCUUGUGGGGCCUAGGGUUUUAGUGGGAGACCGAGCUGCUCCAAAGCCCCUCUCCACGCUCAACCCCCGCCCAACCCAGCGUUCCAGCCACACUGGCUUUUCUGAGGGUCAUUAAACGCAGUUUCUCAACCAGA
Homo sapiens (human) is the source of this 500-nucleotide long non-coding RNA. Ensembl annotates it as ZNF628 divergent transcript. Its record names the gene ZNF628-DT. The record is from Ensembl. NCBI's taxonomy places the organism in Eukaryota, Metazoa, Chordata, Mammalia, Primates, Hominidae.